This 472-nucleotide ribosomal RNA is filed under the name uncultured bacterium. RNAcentral's name for it is "partial 16S ribosomal RNA". It matches the Rfam family "Bacterial small subunit ribosomal RNA", at positions 28 to 507 of the family's 1533-position model. The record is from RNAcentral.
GAUGAACGCUAGCGGCAGGCCUAAUACAUGCAAGUCGAACGGGUGGUCGCAAUUCCACUAGUGGCGCACGGGUGCGUAACGCGUAACCAACCUGCCCCGAUCUGGGGGAUAGCGCGCCGAAAGGCGGAUUAAUACCGCAUAUACCCGCAGCCUGGCAUCAGGCAACGGGGAAAGAUGUAUUGGAUCGGGAUGGGGUUGCGUGACAUUAGCUAGUUGGCGGGGUAAGGGCCCACCAAGGCGACGAUGUCUAGGGGACCUGAGAGGGUGAUCCCCCACACUGGCACUGAGAUACGGGCCAGACUCCUACGGGAGGCAGCAGUAGGGAAUAUUGGGCAAUGGGCGAGAGCAUGACCCAGCCAUGCCCGUGGCGGAUGAAGGCCUUCUGGGUUGUAAACGGCUUUUCUCAGGGAAGAAAAAGACCUUGCGAGGUACACUGACGGUACCUGAGGAAUAAGCACCGGCUAACUCCGUG